Molecule: ribosomal RNA, 484 nt
Filed under: uncultured bacterium
Lineage: Bacteria
Description: bacterial SSU rRNA
Rfam family: Bacterial small subunit ribosomal RNA
Source: RNAcentral
GAUGAACGCUAGCUACAGGCUUAACACAUGCAAGUCGAGGGGCAGCACUAGGUAGCAAUACUGAGGUGGCGACCGGCGCACGGGUGCGUAACGCGUAUCCAACCUUCCCGUUACUCUUGGAUAGCCUUCCGAAAGGGAGAUUAAUACAAGAUGGUAUUCAAAUUCCGCAUGUUAUUUGAAUUAAAGAUUUAUCGGUAUCGGAUGGGGAUGCGUGACAUUAGAUAGUAGGCGGGGUAACGGCCCACCUAGUCUACGAUGUCUAGGGGUUCUGAGAGGAAGGUCCCCCCACACUGGAACUGAGACACGGUCCAGACUCCUACGGGAGGCAGCAGUGAGGAAUAUUGGUCAAUGGCCGAGAGGCUGAACCAGCCAUGCCGCGUGAAGGUCACGGCCCUAUGGGUCUUAAACUCUUUUGUAAGGAGCAAUAAGGGUCACGUGUGGUCCGAUGAGAGUACCUUACGAAUAAGCAUCGGCUAACUCCGUG